GGACCCGCUGCCCCGCGGGCGCGGAGAUCACGGGGCCGGAACUACCCGAGCGUUCGGGGUGGGAGCAGCUGGCUGGGAUCCGCUUCCCUCCGUCCUGGUCCUUGCUCCGAGGAUGGGGGCAGCCGUGGGAUCCACUUCCCUCGAUCCCGGGAUGCGCCGUCCUCCCCGAGUGCAUGCAUGGUCACGAAGAGGAGGAGGAAUAUGUGGAGGAGGAGAGUAAAAUGAAGUAUUUAAACGUUGAUCCCCAAAACUUGAGGUCUUUGGAAAACAUGGCCAGUGAUCUGCUUCACCCAGGGGAGUGCAAAGCCCGAUGGUACUGACUUUCCAGCUAUGGGGAUGAAGAAGUUACUGUGAAUUUUAAUUACAUCAUCCAGUGCUUAACCUAAUAGCAAGGUAGUUCCUGACACUCCAAAGUGAUCAAAAGAAGACAGAAGUUGCAUUGUUUGUAAGUGCAGACUUUUCAUCUGGUGUGUUUUGCACGUUUAACUGCUUUACUUAAAGCAGAUCUUGGCUGUGUAGCACGUUCAAACAGCCAGAGGGACACAGCUCUCUUCGAGUCAUCGUGCAGGCUCUCUACGAGGCUGAUAAGGAGUUCAGCCAACGGUUUAUCCAAAAUGAACAUCCUUCUGGAUCUGGGGAGAAAACCUCGAAUAGAAAAGUGUGAGAGUGGGGAGUUACACUUUAUGCUCUCACAGCAGUCUCCAAUUACUUUGAAUAUCAAGGAUUCUGUGCAGUGGUCAGAAAAUUAUCUCCAAGUGUUUAUAUUUACAGAUAACAGAGUUUGAGCAGUGGUCAGUUGCUGAAAAUUGUCUUCAGGAACUCCAGAGAAAUGAGAGUGGUCUAAUCAGAGACAUCAGCAUUCCAGAGGGGGGGGCUGCCUGUCACAGUAGUUCUGGACACCUCCCCAUGCCAGGUCUGAGGGCCACUGCAAACCUUCAUUUGGCCGCAGUGAGAACUUCUGAGUUGUCAACCACAAAAGAAACUGCUUCACUUCCUCUUCUUUCUCUCGCACAGCUGGGGUUUGCUUGGCUUAUCUUGGCCUUUGAUUAUGGGAAAUGAGGCACAGAAUUCCAGAACACACCACUGGCCCACUGCAGGAGCGUCUGUAGUUACCACUGGCCAGCAGGGUGUUUCAGAUCUACAGGCCCUGAAUACUUACAGAAUAGAAAAUUGUAUCUUUGAAAG
Molecule: long non-coding RNA, 1185 nt
Organism: Chiroxiphia lanceolata (lance-tailed manakin)
Lineage: Eukaryota; Metazoa; Chordata; Aves; Passeriformes; Pipridae
Exons: 3
Source: RefSeq, a predicted model, not a curated record